UGGAUUGAAGCCCGCUGGAUUGGGUGUUUAAUUGUUAAUUAAAGUUUUACGGGGUCGAAGCCCGUCAAUCUAU
This 73-nucleotide transfer RNA is filed under the name Goniurosaurus luii. Its description in RNAcentral is "tRNA-Asn". The record is from RNAcentral. Lineage: Eukaryota; Metazoa; Chordata; Lepidosauria; Squamata; Eublepharidae.